Molecule: long non-coding RNA, 2698 nt
Organism: Mauremys mutica (yellowpond turtle)
Lineage: Eukaryota; Metazoa; Chordata; Testudines; Geoemydidae
Exons: 3
Source: RefSeq, a predicted model, not a curated record
GAAACGUUCCCUAAGGGAACGCAGGCUCAGUUCCAAGGCAAGACUGGAUAUGCAGGAGCAGUCAGCUGUUGGCUGCUUCACUCUGAAAUCCUUGUUUGUGAGUGUAACAUGUCUCACUCCUUCUCCUGUUUAACACAUGGCUGGUACCCCAUGGCAGCAGGAAAUGCCAACUUAACCCAGUUAAUGCAAAUGUGCUUUCUAAGCAGGGUCUGAGUGGUGGUAGCACCUGGGGACCUCAAAUGGGGAGCAGGACCCCGCUGUGCUAGGGGGUGGGCAAACAAGCCAGACUGUUCAUGCCCCAGAGAGCUCGUGGUCCAGCCACUGUGGGCACAUUCUGCACAAACCCUCCUGGCCAGGAGUAAAAUCCAUGCAGGUGCCUGAACAGCUGCUGUUUGCCAAGGUGGGAGGGGGCCAUCGUUCACCUGGGCUGAAGGUCCAAGCUCACGUGUGAGCUGCCCUGGGAAGGCCCAUGGCAGCUUACAACCAAGGCAUUGCCCCUGCCCUGGGGACAAGACUUACAUGUUACCAGGGGUGUUGUGGGGAACAAUCCAGUGCUCGCUGGCAUGGAACAGCAUAGAAUCCCUAAGGCCCAUCAAGCACAUGACAGUGGCAGAUCCCAGGGGAUGCCAUGGGGGUCCUAUUUAGAGCUGCUUUCAGAGCUGGGUAACCUGGACUAAGGUGGGGACAUGCUGACAAGUCUCAUCUAGCUGCAUGUGGGGUGGGGCUUAUGGAGGCAGGUCCUGAGAUGCAGGCAUGUCCUAUGGAUAUCGGGCAGCCUGACAUGGGCCAUGCUGGCUGCUCACCCUGGUGUAUGUGUACUAACUCCUCUCCAUUUUCAUCUCAUUGAUCAGUGUUGGUGAGACAGGCCGGGAUAGAAACCAGCCAAUGCAGGCCAUGAGCACCACAGCAGCGUGGACUCCGAAGGGUCUCUCCUGGAGAAAUGGAAUCGCUAUCCCAGGACUAGCACUCCUAUACCAGCAUAACUGCCUCAACACGAGGGUGCAUCAUUUUAACUGUAUUGGUGGCUCAACCCUUCGAUGCCUUGGCUUCUGACUCUGGAAACAUGGUCUUCAGCUUCUGUCACCUUGGCAUAACUCAGGGAGAAGCCAAUGGAAAGCAGCAACUCAGUUACAAAAGGACUCUGUUACUACAACGACAAAAGGAGCAGCAACAAAGAGUUUUAAUUCUCCACUGCCUCAUGAGAUCUUCCCUCUUUCCCUUAAUAUGGUAGAGAGCUUAUCAGAUUUGCUGUCCUAGAUUCACUUUAGAUCUCUUUGGUUUUACUGCUUUCCACAUAGCUCCUCCCACUGAACAGUUGGGUUGCAGACCUUCCACUCAGAUGUAUUAACUUGUGUUUAUUUAUAUUGCUUCCUGCAUAUAUUUCUAAUUCUACAUACAAGUCUCUGUUUUGUUCCUCUAGACCCACUGCUCUUUGCAACACCUCCUAAUCAGUGUUGGCAUCAUAACAAGGAGGACCCCAAGCUAAUGGAAGGAGAUUGGCAAGGAAAAACACCCCCAAAAACAAAGGCCUGAGUUUCCCUCUUUAGCAGUACCACUGCCAGAAGAGGUUUGGGGUAGGAUUUCUAGUAGUAAAUUGUUUCCUCACUCUCUGGUUUCACUGGUGCAAGGAAGACUGGGUUGAGAAGUUCAUCUUUUCUUUCCCCCACUGAAUACCAUUCCUGAGAGGGAUACAGGACCAUCCUGUGAAAUGCAGAACUUGCACGGGACACAGGACCCCCAGAAGACCUUGCUUAGCUAGUGCUCAAGCAAGGCCUAGUUUUAAUUUGGCAUCAUUUGAGUAUAUUUAUCUCUUCUGGUUAUACAAGUACAAAGUUUCCCAGAGAUCUUAAAUGUUAAAAGUUAACAUACAAAUAAAAGCCAGGGAGAAACGUAAGGGAUAUUUAUUUAGUUUAAAGACCAUCAAUUGUUUUCAUUUCUAUUACUACACCAGUCAUAUUACAUUUUGGCCACAAAUGAUUGUCAUUUGUUGGCUGGUUCAUCCUUGAAUUAUUUCUUCAUUCAUCACUAAUAAACAAAUAUUUUACUUAAAAGAAUACAAGUAUGAAACACUGAGUGGAGAGCAACAAGUUACAAUGAAGUAAUGCAUUGGUGGCAGCCUGUUAAACUCACAAGAAAAAGAUUUAAAUGAUUUAGGAUACUGCAGCAAAACCAAAUGACAAUCAUUCUCAAUUUCUGUAUAGUAUCUGGAGAUGUUUUACAGGUUCAGUGCAGGAUGAGGUAGUCAUUUAUGAUCAUUCAGUGGCAGAGGCAGGUUGAAGUGUAAUAAAUGCUCUUAGUGGUAAUAAGAACAGAUCAUGAACGAGAGUGAAAUUCAAGUUCUAAAUAGCACUUAACAGACAAAAGAGACUCUUGGUUUUUAGAUCUAUAUAUUACCAGAUUGAAUGUAACAGGAAUUUCACAUAGCACAAAGAUCUAAUCCUGGAUACAGAAAUUUACAGACUGGUUUGUCAAACUUUGGUGGUUUGCUAAUAGCUGGCCAGUCAUAUGGUGCUGGCUUCUUCCGCCUUACUCCAGAGUCCAAACAAGUUGUGGUGCAUCAAAACUUCCUGACCCCAUUACUGGAUUUGGCUUUAGUCACAAAAGGACCUCCACAAAAUCCUGCCCAAGCUAUGCUUCAAGGCUUGGCUUCUCCUCUCCUAAGCUCCUCUCUGCAAGGACUGUUCAGCUACACCAUACA